AUUACUGUGCAGUUUCAAAAGAACCCCUCUCCAAAGGAAAUGAUGAUGGAUCAUCCCUAGUUCCCUACCAAGUUCAGAGAUGCAGAAGACACUGCACAGCGACCAGAUGGACAGACUCUCCAGGACAGAGGGAGUACUGCUGUGCCAAUGUCCUAGUCCUAGUGGAGCGCCAUGCACUUCAUUUGUCCAUUAAUUAUCUACAAACUUUCAAUACAGAUAGCAAAAAAAGGUCUCUAUAUAUAUACCUGAGGAAUGGUGUGUUCCACAGCAAGAA
Molecule: long non-coding RNA, 274 nt
Organism: Panicum virgatum (switchgrass)
Lineage: Eukaryota; Viridiplantae; Streptophyta; Magnoliopsida; Poales; Poaceae
Exons: 2
Source: RefSeq, a predicted model, not a curated record